Non-coding RNA from Phrynosoma platyrhinos (Desert horned lizard), 71 nucleotides. NCBI's taxonomy places the organism in Eukaryota, Metazoa, Chordata, Lepidosauria, Squamata, Phrynosomatidae. The record is from the annotation of a GenBank genome assembly.
GCCAGCAUGGUUCAGUGAUUUGAGUGUUGGACUAGGAUUCAGAAGACCAGGGUUCAAAUCCCCACUUGGCC